RNAcentral lists this long non-coding RNA (348 nucleotides) under Rattus norvegicus (Norway rat). RNAcentral's name for it is "long non-coding RNA NONRATT006127". Lineage: Eukaryota; Metazoa; Chordata; Mammalia; Rodentia; Muridae. The record is from RNAcentral.
UCCAAAUACACCAGGCAAGAUUUACCUUCAUUAUGCAGAACCUCCCAAUGGACCAUUUGUUGAACCUCCUGAUCUGUUUUUUCUGAAAACGACUAAAUCUAAGCCUGUGCAGGGAACUCCAACAUAUAUGACCAAGUCACCUCAAGAGAUUGUUUCUCAAAGUCCAGAAGGUAUGGAGGCUGGCCCUCCCACCAAAGUUGAGGUUCAAGAUGAGUCUCCAUCAUCGCCCCAUGCAUCAUUACAGACUUUGGAUCAGGAACUUACCCUAUCUUCUCAACCUCAUGGUUGGAUUCCCCACCCUCCAAAUACAGCCGGAAAGAUUUACCUUCAUUAUGCAGAACCUCCCAC